AAUUUGGGUAUUAAAUGUUUAUGUGCGUCACUUUAUUCUGUAAAGGUGUAUGAAUCAUAGGGGCUUGUCUUCCGGAUUGAUAAUUGUAAUUUAAAAGUACUACACCUAUAUACAUAAACUCUCAACUUUGAGAGUUUAUUUAUUUUUAUUUAUAUCAUUUUUAUUUUAAACUGUGUCCAUUUUCUUAAAACACAGGUACAGUGAAUUCAGUAUGCAGAUUGUUGAAGGGAAAACAUCAAGACGGGGCGAAGAAGACAACAAAACAUGAUUACCCAGAUUGAGGAUCCCAGUGUUCUUUGUCUCAAGCUACUCAGCCUACCAUGAGAAAAUUAAAAGAUCUGUCAUGAAGAAGAUGCGGGUUCUCAACUUUCAUAUUAUAAAUGGCAA
Long non-coding RNA from Saccostrea cuccullata (small rock oyster), 387 nucleotides. RefSeq lists it as uncharacterized. Lineage: Eukaryota; Metazoa; Mollusca; Bivalvia; Ostreida; Ostreidae. The record is from RefSeq and is a predicted model, not a curated record. The transcript has 3 exons.